UGGGGAAUAUUGCACAAUGGGCGCAAGCCUGAUGCAGCCAUGCCGCGUGUAUGAAGAAGGCCUUCGGGUUGUAAAGUACUUUCAGUCGGGAGGAAGGUGUCAAGGUUAAUAACCUUGGCAAUUGACGUUACCGACAGAAGAAGCACCGGCUAACUCCGUGCUAGCAGCCGCGGUAAUACGGAGGGUGCAAGCGUUAAUCGGAAUUACUGGGCGUAAAGCGCACGCAGGCGGUUGAUUGAGUCAGAUGUGAAAUCCCCGGGCUUAACCCGGGAAUUGCAUCUGAUACUGGUCAGCUAGAGUCUUGUAGAGGGGGGUAGAAUUCCAUGUGUAGCGGUGAAAUGCGUAGAGAUGUGAAGGAAUACCGGUGGCGAAGGCGGCCCCCUGGACGAAGACUGACACUCAGGUGCGAAAGCGUGGGGAGCAAGCAGG
RNAcentral lists this ribosomal RNA (429 nucleotides) under Chloroflexota bacterium. Its description in RNAcentral is "Chloroflexi bacterium partial 16S ribosomal RNA". It matches the Rfam family "Bacterial small subunit ribosomal RNA", at positions 355 to 776 of the family's 1533-position model. The record is from RNAcentral. Lineage: Bacteria; Bacillati; Chloroflexota.